Small nucleolar RNA from Pteropus vampyrus (large flying fox), 201 nucleotides. Its record names the gene SNORA74. It matches the Rfam family "Small nucleolar RNA SNORA74". From Rfam's summary of the family: U19 belongs to the H/ACA class of snoRNAs. snoRNAs bind a number of proteins (including dyskerin, Gar1p and Nop10p in the case of the H/ACA class) to form snoRNP complexes. Lineage: Eukaryota; Metazoa; Chordata; Mammalia; Chiroptera; Pteropodidae. The record is from Ensembl.
UCCAGCAGUAGUCAGCCGUCUGGACAGAACCAUUCCUGUGAUGGUGUUACACUGCUGGAAGAGGAAUGUCCUGUCUUCUUCCAGUUGUCUCUGUCACUGUUCUGGUGGCGUCUGACACUGGUGCAAGGCAGAACUGUGCUUCCUUGAGAGUAUGCUAAGCAUUCACUUUGGCUGCUUAGUUCUAGUCUAGAAGCGGACACA